UUAAGCGACUAAGCGUACACGGUGGAUGCCCUGGCAGUCAGAGGCGAUGAAGGACGUGCUAAUCUGCGAUAAGCGUCGGUAAGGUGAUAUGAACCGUUAUAACCGGCGAUUUCCGAAUGGGGAAACCCAGUGUGUUUCGACACACUAUCAUUAACUGAAUCCAUAGGUUAAUGAGGCGAACCGGGGGAACUGAAACAUCUAAGUACCCCGAGGAAAAGAAAUCAACCGAGAUUCCCCCAGUAGCGGCGAGCGAACGGGGAGCAGCCCAGAGCCUGAAUCAGUGUGUGUGUUAGUGGAAGCGUCUGGAAAGGCGCGCGAUACAGGGUGACAGCCCCGUACACAAAAAUGCACAUGCUGUGAGCUCGAUGAGUAGGGCGGGACACGUGGUAUCCUGUCUGAAUAUGGGGGGACCAUCCUCCAAGGCUAAAUACUCCUGACUGACCGAUAGUGAACCAGUACCGUGAGGGAAAGGCGAAAAGAACCCCGGCGAGGGGAGUGAAAAAGAACCUGAAACCGUGUACGUACAAGCAGUGGGAGCACGCUUAGGCGUGUGACUGCGUACCUUUUGUAUAAUGGGUCAGCGACUUAUAUUCUGUAGCAAGGUUAACCGAAUAGGGGAGCCGAAGGGAAACCGAGUCUUAACUGGGCGUUAAGUUGCAGGGUAUAGACCCGAAACCCGGUGAUCUAGCCAUGGGCAGGUUGAAGGUUGGGUAACACUAACUGGAGGACCGAACCGACUAAUGUUGAAAAAUUAGCGGAUGACUUGUGGCUGGGGGUGAAAGGCCAAUCAAACCGGGAGAUAGCUGGUUCUCCCCGAAAGCUAUUUAGGUAGCGCCUCGUGAAUUCAUCUCCGGGGGUAGAGCACUGUUUCGGCAAGGGGGUCAUCCCGACUUACCAACCCGAUGCAAACUGCGAAUACCGGAGAAUGUUAUCACGGGAGACACACGGCGGGUGCUAACGUCCGUCGUGAAGAGGGAAACAACCCAGACCGCCAGCUAAGGUCCCAAAGUCAUGGUUAAGUGGGAAACGAUGUGGGAAGGCCCAGACAGCCAGGAUGUUGGCUUAGAAGCAGCCAUCAUUUAAAGAAAGCGUAAUAGCUCACUGGUCGAGUCGGCCUGCGCGGAAGAUGUAACGGGGCUAAACCAUGCACCGAAGCUGCGGCAGCGACGCUUAUGCGUUGUUGGGUAGGGGAGCGUUCUGUAAGCCUGUGAAGGUGUACUGUGAGGUAUGCUGGAGGUAUCAGAAGUGCGAAUGCUGACAUAAGUAACGAUAAAGCGGGUGAAAAGCCCGCUCGCCGGAAGACCAAGGGUUCCUGUCCAACGUUAAUCGGGGCAGGGUGAGUCGACCCCUAAGGCGAGGCCGAAAGGCGUAGUCGAUGGGAAACAGGUUAAUAUUCCUGUACUUGGUGUUACUGCGAAGGGGGGACGGAGAAGGCUAUGUUGGCCGGGCGACGGUUGUCCCGGUUUAAGCGUGUAGGCUGGUUUUCCAGGCAAAUCCGGAAAAUCAAGGCUGAGGCGUGAUGACGAGGCACUACGGUGCUGAAGCAACAAAUGCCCUGCUUCCAGGAAAAGCCUCUAAGCAUCAGGUAACAUCAAAUCGUACCCCAAACCGACACAGGUGGUCAGGUAGAGAAUACCAAGGCGCUUGAGAGAACUCGGGUGAAGGAACUAGGCAAAAUGGUGCCGUAACUUCGGGAGAAGGCACGCUGAUAUGUAGGUGAAGUCCCUCGCGGAUGGAGCUGAAAUCAGUCGAAGAUACCAGCUGGCUGCAACUGUUUAUUAAAAACACAGCACUGUGCAAACACGAAAGUGGACGUAUACGGUGUGACGCCUGCCCGGUGCCGGAAGGUUAAUUGAUGGGGUCAGCGCAAGCGAAGCUCUUGAUCGAAGCCCCGGUAAACGGCGGCCGUAACUAUAACGGUCCUAAGGUAGCGAAAUUCCUUGUCGGGUAAGUUCCGACCUGCACGAAUGGCGUAAUGAUGGCCAGGCUGUCUCCACCCGAGACUCAGUGAAAUUGAACUCGCUGUGAAGAUGCAGUGUACCCGCGGCAAGACGGAAAGACCCCGUGAACCUUUACUAUAGCUUGACACUGAACAUUGAGCCUUGAUGUGUAGGAUAGGUGGGAGGCUUGGAAGUGUGGACGCCAGUCUGCAUGGAGCCGACCUUGAAAUACCACCCUUUAAUGUUUGAUGUUCUAACGUUGACCCGUAAUCCGGGUUGCGGACAGUGUCUGGUGGGUAGUUUGACUGGGGCGGUCUCCUCCUAAAGAGUAACGGAGGAGCACGAAGGUUGGCUAAUCCUGGUCGGACAUCAGGAGGUUAGUGCAAUGGCAUAAGCCAGCUUGACUGCGAGCGUGACGGCGCGAGCAGGUGCGAAAGCAGGUCAUAGUGAUCCGGUGGUUCUGAAUGGAAGGGCCAUCGCUCAACGGAUAAAAGGUACUCCGGGGAUAACAGGCUGAUACCGCCCAAGAGUUCAUAUCGACGGCGGUGUUUGGCACCUCGAUGUCGGCUCAUCACAUCCUGGGGCUGAAGUAGGUCCCAAGGGUAUGGCUGUUCGCCAUUUAAAGUGGUACGCGAGCUGGGUUUAGAACGUCGUGAGACAGUUCGGUCCCUAUCUGCCGUGGGCGCUGGAGAACUGAGGGGGGCUGCUCCUAGUACGAGAGGACCGGAGUGGACGCAUCACUGGUGUUCGGGUUGUCAUGCCAAUGGCACUGCCCGGUAGCUAAAUGCGGAAGAGAUAAGUGCUGAAAGCAUCUAAGCACGAAACUUGCCCCGAGAUGAGUUUUCCCUGACCCUUUAAGGGUCCUGAAGGAACGUUGAAGACGACGACGUUGAUAGGCCGGGUGUGUAAGCGCAGCGAUGCGUUGAGCUAACCGGUACUAAUGAACCGUGAGGCUUAACCUU
RNAcentral lists this ribosomal RNA (2902 nucleotides) under Escherichia coli O25:H16. Its description in RNAcentral is "bacterial LSU rRNA". It matches the Rfam family "Bacterial large subunit ribosomal RNA". Lineage: Bacteria; Pseudomonadati; Pseudomonadota; Gammaproteobacteria; Enterobacterales; Enterobacteriaceae. The record is from RNAcentral.